RNAcentral lists this ribosomal RNA (424 nucleotides) under uncultured prokaryote. RNAcentral describes it as "bacterial SSU rRNA". It matches the Rfam family "Bacterial small subunit ribosomal RNA", at positions 355 to 776 of the family's 1533-position model. The record is from RNAcentral. RNAcentral also lists the same sequence under 1 other name.
UGAGGAAUAUUGGUCAAUGGGCGCAAGCCUGAACCAGCCAUCCCGCGUGAAGGACGACUGCCCUAUGGGUUGUAAACUUCUUUUCUGCAUGAAGAAAAUCAGGUACGUGUACCUGAGUGACGGUAAUGCAGGAAUAAGCAUCGGCUAACUCCGUGCCAGCAGCCGCGGUAAUACGGAGGAUGCAAGCGUUAUCCGGAUUCAUUGGGUUUAAAGGGUACGUAGGUGGCCCGGUAAGUCAGUGGUGAAAACCUGCCGCUCAACGGUAGGCGUGCCAUUGAUACUGUCAGGCUUGAGUACAGAUGAGGUAAGCGGAAUGUGUAGUGUAGCGGUGAAAUGCAUAGAUAUUACACAGAACCCCGAUUGCGAAGGCAGCUUACCAAGCUAUUAUUGACGCUGAGGCACGAAAGCGUGGGGAUCGAACAGG